UACGAAGGGUGCAAGCGUUAAUCGGAAUUACUGGGCGUAAAGCGUGCGCAGGCGGUUUUGCAAGCCGGAUGUGAAAUCCCCGGGCUCAACCUGGGAAUGGCAUUCGGGACUGCAAGGCUGGAGUGCGGCAGAGGAGACUGGAAUUCCUGGUGUAGCAGUGAAAUGCGUAGAUAUCAGGAGGAAUACCGAUGGCGAAGGCAGGUCUCUGGGCUGACACUGACGCUCAUGCACGAAAGCGUGGGGAGCAAACAGG
This 253-nucleotide ribosomal RNA is filed under the name uncultured bacterium. Its description in RNAcentral is "partial 16S ribosomal RNA". It matches the Rfam family "Bacterial small subunit ribosomal RNA", at positions 524 to 776 of the family's 1533-position model. The record is from RNAcentral.